GAUGAAGCUUGCCGCGUGCCCAAAAAAUUCAAAGCGGAGGGAAGGGAGGGAAAGUUGGCUCCCUUGAGUUAGGGGCGGACGGGGGGAGAACACCGUGGUAACCUACCUUUAAAGCUGGGGUAAAUUCCGGAAAACGUUGGUUAUACCGGAAAAUUUUUUGAAACGCCAGGGUCAAAAGUGGAAGGAGGGCUUUCUUGUACCUUAUAAUUGAUCCGCGCUGCAUUAGCUAGUUGGUAAGGUAACGGCUUACCAAGGCAACGAUGCAUAGCCGACCUGAGAGGGUGAUCGGCCACACUGGAACUGAGACACGGUCCAGACUCCUACGGGAGGCAGCCGUAGGGAAUCUUCCGCAAUGGGCGAAAGCCUGACGGAGCAACGCCGCGUGAGUGAUGAAGGUCUUCGGAUCGUAAAACUCUGUUAUUAGGGAAGAACAUAUGUGUAAGUAACUGUGCACAUCUUGACGGUACCUAAUCAGAAAGCCACGGCUAACUACGUG
RNAcentral lists this ribosomal RNA (496 nucleotides) under uncultured bacterium. Its description in RNAcentral is "partial 16S ribosomal RNA". It matches the Rfam family "Bacterial small subunit ribosomal RNA", at positions 35 to 507 of the family's 1533-position model. The record is from RNAcentral.